This 427-nucleotide ribosomal RNA is filed under the name uncultured bacterium. RNAcentral describes it as "bacterial SSU rRNA". It matches the Rfam family "Bacterial small subunit ribosomal RNA", at positions 355 to 774 of the family's 1533-position model. The record is from RNAcentral.
CUAAGAAUCUUCCGCAAUGGGCGAAAGCCUGACGGAGCGAUGCCGCGUGAGCGAAGAAGGCCGGAAGGUUGUAAAGCUCUUUUCUCGGGGAGGAAUAAGGCCGGCAGGAAAUGGCCGGCGGAUGACGCGAACCGAGGAAUAAGCCCCGGCUAAUUACGUGCCAGCAGCCGCGGUAACACGUAAGGGGCGAGCGUUGUUCGGAAUUAUUGGGCGUAAAGGGCGUGUAGGCGGCUAUGUAAGCCUGGUGUGAAAGACUUCGGCUUAACCGGAGGCUCGCGCUGGGAACUAUGUAGCUUGAGUAUAGGAGGGGGAGCUGGAAUUCCAGGUGUAGGGGUGAAAUCUGUAGAUAUCUGGAAGAACACCGGAGGCGAAGGCGAGCUCCUGGCCAUAUACUGACGCUGAGGCGCGAAAGCGUGGGGAGCGAACA